RNAcentral lists this ribosomal RNA (253 nucleotides) under uncultured bacterium. RNAcentral's name for it is "partial 16S ribosomal RNA". It matches the Rfam family "Bacterial small subunit ribosomal RNA", at positions 524 to 776 of the family's 1533-position model. The record is from RNAcentral.
UACGUAGGGGGCUAGCGUUGUCCGGAAUCAUUGGGCGUAAAGCGCGUGUAGGCGGUCCGGUAAGUCCGCUGUGAAAGUCGAGGGCUCAACCCUCGAAUGCCGGUGGAUACUGUCGGGCUAGAGUACGGAAGAGGCGAGUGGAAUUCCUGGUGUAGCGGUGAAAUGCGCAGAUAUCGGGAGGAACACCUAUGGCGAAGGCAGCUCGCUGGGACGUUACUGACGCUGAGACGCGAAAGCGUGGGGAGCAAACAGG